UUGGACUGAUUCGGGCUCGGCCCGAUCCUCCCACCCUUUGUGUACCUACCUCUGUUGCUUUGGCGGGCCGCGGUCCCCCGCGGCCGCCCCCCCUCCCCGGGGGGUGGCUAGUGCCCGCCAGAGGACCAUCAAACUCCAGUCAGUGAACGUCGCAGUCUGAAAAAACAUUCAAUAAACUAAAACUUUCAACAACGGAUCUCUUGGUUCUGGCAUCGAUGAAGAACGCAGCGAAAUGCGAUAAGUAAUGUGAAUUGCAGAAUUCAGUGAAUCAUCGAAUCUUUGAACGCACAUUGCGCCCCUUGGUAUUCCGAGGGGCAUGCCUGUUCGAGCGUCAUUACAACCCUCAAGCUCUGCUUGGUAUUGGGCACCGCCCUUCUUCGGGCGCGCCUCAAAGACCUCGGCGGUGGCUGUCUUGCCUCAAGCGUAGUAGAAUACACCUCGCUUCGGAGCGCAGGGCGUCGCCCGCCGGACGAACCUUCUGAACUUUUCUCAAGGUUGACCUCGGAUCAGGUAGGGAUACCCGCUGAACUUAAGCAUAUCAUAAGCGCACGA
Molecule: ribosomal RNA, 552 nt
Filed under: Macrophomina phaseolina
Lineage: Eukaryota; Fungi; Ascomycota; Dothideomycetes; Botryosphaeriales; Botryosphaeriaceae
Description: eukaryotic LSU rRNA
Rfam family: 5.8S ribosomal RNA (bases 181-334)
Source: RNAcentral